GAUGAACGCUAGCGGCAGGCCUAAUACAUGCAAGCUGAACGGUAAAUAUCUCAGCAAUGGGAUAUGAGAGUAGCGUAAGGGUGCGUAACACGUAUGCAAUCUGCCCUGUACAGGAGGAUAGCUCGGCGAAAGCCGGAUUAAUACUCCGUAAUAUUAUUGGGUGGCAUCACCUGAUAAUUAAAGUCGCAAGACGGUAUGGGAUGAGCAUGCGUCUGAUUAGCUAGUUGGUGGUGUAACGGACCACCAAGGCGAUGAUCAGUAGGGGAACUGAGAGGUUGAUCCCCCACACUGGCACUGAGAUACGGGCCAGACUCCUACGGGAGGCAGCAGUAGGGAAUAUUGGUCAAUGGAUGCAAGUCUGAACCAGCCAUGCCGCGUGCAGGAAGAAGGCCUUCUGGGUUGUAAACUGCUUUUGCCGGGGGAUAAAAAGUCCAUGCGUGGAUAAUUGAAGGUACCCGGUGAAUAAGCCACGGCUAACUACGUGCCAGCAGCCGCGGUAAUACGUAGGUGGCGAGCGUUGUCCGGAUUUAUUGGGUUUAAAGGGUGCGUAGGCGGCCUAUUAAGUCAGUUCUGAAAUAUCCCGGCUUAACCGGGAGGGUGGGAUUGAUACUGAUGGGCUUGAGUGGAAUCGAGGUAGGCGGAAUUGACGGUGUAGCGGUGAAAUGCUUAGAUAUCGUCAAGAACACCGAUAGUGUAGACAGCUUACUAGACUUCAACUGACGCUGAGGCACGAAAGUGUGGGGAUCAAACAGGAUUAGAUACCCUGGUAGU
RNAcentral lists this ribosomal RNA (771 nucleotides) under uncultured bacterium. RNAcentral describes it as "bacterial SSU rRNA". It matches the Rfam family "Bacterial small subunit ribosomal RNA", at positions 28 to 794 of the family's 1533-position model. The record is from RNAcentral.